GGGUCUGUGGUCUAGGGGUAUGACACUCCCUUAGCAACAUCAACAGCUCUCCUCUAUAGGAAGCUUCUGAUUGCGCUAGAAUAGCAUGGGAGAGGUCCCGGGUUCAAUUCCCGGCGGAUCCA
Non-coding RNA from Phyllosticta citriasiana, 122 nucleotides. The record is from the annotation of a GenBank genome assembly. Lineage: Eukaryota; Fungi; Ascomycota; Dothideomycetes; Botryosphaeriales; Phyllostictaceae.